Molecule: long non-coding RNA, 921 nt
Organism: Prionailurus viverrinus (fishing cat)
Lineage: Eukaryota; Metazoa; Chordata; Mammalia; Carnivora; Felidae
Exons: 3
Source: RefSeq, a predicted model, not a curated record
UAUUGUGAAGUCUUUGUGCAUCUCUUUGUUUAUCUGUCAUUCUAUCCCUACACCGUGCGUGUACACACACACACACACACACACACACACACACACUCUUCAAGUUAACGGACUUAAAACAAAAACCAAGUGCUGUUGAUCAGCGCUGAUAAAAACCCUUGCCAGGGAGGAAGGGACCGGCGGCUCCUCAGGGGCGGAUGCCGUGAGAACCAGGUGGCGCAGCACAUCCCUCUGGGUCCUGUGUAGCCCGUGAUUUCAUCAGCCUGUGCAUUAAGCGGCAACACCGCACAAGGAAUCGAGCAAGCUGCCUGCCUUGUCAUUCCCGUCCUCUGAGGGGAGAGAGACGGUCCCGGUCCCUCGCUGGAGCCGAGGAGAGAGAGCAGCGAGCGGGUUCCUGACUCCGAGCCCCGUUUGUCCUCGUGCUGUGAAGCAUAAGCAUUUGUCAGGUUAGGCGAAGCCCCUGUGCCCGACCGCAAGCCACGGUGCUGUGAAGGAUUGUCUGAGUCUAGGUUCCUAAUGCAAAAUGCAGAAUGGGAAUUGAAACGUACUUGAUGGAAUUAAAACACGAGUAUUGGCUUUCAGUUCUUGCCUCCCUGGCUCCCGUAACAAAUGUAGGGCAUCUUAAAAAUAAAAGCCAACAAACCAAGAGAAAACAGCCAGACGCCUUUGCAAGACAGAGGAGGCACAAAACCUCUCUGCGAGACUUGAGAGUUGAUCUGCCCCAGUGUGAACUCUGGCAACUGUUUAUUCUCUAACUUGGACAUAUACUUUUCAUUUCUUUUAAGUAGAAUGCUUUUAUUGUUACUGCGGGUAUGGGAAGACACUGUGACAUGUCGAUAAAUGAAAUAAUCCCGAUUACCACGUUAAGCCACAUGUCGGGAAUUUUAGAAGGAAAAUGCCGUUAAGAAACCCAGUGUAGGG